RNAcentral lists this ribosomal RNA (2072 nucleotides) under Deltaproteobacteria bacterium. Its description in RNAcentral is "partial 23S ribosomal RNA". It matches the Rfam family "Bacterial large subunit ribosomal RNA", at positions 1 to 1987 of the family's 2925-position model. Lineage: Bacteria; Pseudomonadati; Myxococcota; Myxococcia. The record is from RNAcentral.
GGUCAAGAUACUAAGAGCAAUUGGUGGAUGCCUAGGCAUAUAGAGGCGAUGAAGGACGUGGCUAGCUGCGAAAAGCUUCGGGAAGGUGCAAACAACCGUUGAUCCGGAGAUGUCCGAAUGGGGCAACCCUAUCUGAUUAAUAUCAGGUAACUCCCGGCUGAAUAUAUAGGCCGGGUAGAGCGAACGGGGCGAAUUGACACAUCUAAGUACCCCCAGGAAUAGAAAACAACCGUGAUUCCCAAAGUAGCGGCGAGCGAACUGGGAAGAGCCCAAACCUGCUUUAUGUUAAAGCCUGCCGGCGUUGUAUAGCAGGGGUUGCGGGACAUUUUUAGAGAGAUCGGCAGGUCUCUCGACAAGUCAAAAACCUGUACAUUAUUCGAACAGUUCUGGAAAGGACUGGCCGUAGAAGGUGAAAGCCCUGUAGGAGAAAAUCUGCAGGCUUGUUGAAAAAUGUUCCCAAUUACCACGAUCCACGAGGAAUUUUGUGGGAAUCUACCGGGACCACCCGGAAAGGCUAAAUACUCCUAUAUGACCGAUAGUGAACUAGUACCGUGAGGGAAAGGUGAAAAGUACUCCUGACGGAGAGUGAAAUAGAACCUGAAACCAUUUGCUUACAAUCUGUUGGAGUCCCGAUUAUUCGGGAUGACAGCGUGCCUUUUGCAUAAUGAGCCAGCGAGUUACUCGUAUGUUGCAAGGCUAAUCCAGACGGAGGAGCCGUAGCGAAAGCAAGUCUGAAUAGGGCGAUUAGUAACAUGCGGUAGACCCGAAGCCGAGUGAUCUAUCCAUGGCCAGGAUGAAGUUCCGGUAACACGGAAUGGAGGUCCGAACCCACCAGCGUUGAAAAGCUGGGGGAUGAGCUGUGGAUGGGGGUGAAAGGCCAAUCAAACUCGGUGAUAGCUGGUUCUCCCCGAAAUAGCUUUAGGGCUAGCCUUGCAUAAGAGUAUGACGGAGGUAGAGCACUGAAUGGGCUAGGGGCCUUACCAGGUUACCAACCCCAACCAAACUCCGAAUGCCGUCCAUAUGUUUUGCAGGAGUCAGGCCGUGUGGGAUAAGCUUCACGGCCGAGAGGGAAACAACCCAGAUCGAUAGCUAAGGUCCCUAAAUACAGGGUAAGUGAUAAAGGAUGUGAAAUUACACAGACAGCUAGGAUGUUGGCUUAGAAGCAGCCACUCAUUUAAAGAGUGCGUAAUAGCUCACUAGUCAAGUGGUUUCGCGCCAAUAAUUCUCGGGACUAAUAACCCUGUUACCGAAGCUUCGGAUUUUACCGUUAUGCGGUAGAGUGGUAGGGGAGCGUUCCAUUAACCGUUGAAGGUCAAUCGCGAGGUUGGCUGGAGGACAUGGAAAUGAGUAUGCUGGCAUGAGUAGCGAUAAUUCCGGUGAGAUUCCGGAACACCGAAAGCCUAAGGGUUCCUGAGUAAAGUAAAUCUUCUCAGGGUUAGUCGGACCCUAAGCCGAGGCCGAAAGGCGUAGGCGAUGGAAAACAGGUUGAAUAUUCCUGUACCAUCAAUAUAUUGUUUGAUCUAUGGGGUAACGCAGGAGUGAAAGGUCAGCCGGGUGUUGAAUGUCCCGGUUUAAGCAGGUAGGGGGACUGGAUAGGAAAAUCCGUUCGGUCAUAACCCCGAGACGCGAAUAGGAGUCCCUAGGACAUAAACUGACCCUAAUCAUACUGACGAGAAAAGCCUCUAUGGUAGAUAUAUGGAUGUCCGUACCCUAAACCGACACAGGUAGGCGAGGAGAGUAUCCUAAGGUGCUCGAGAUAGCUCUGGUUAAGGAACUAGGCAAAUUUGCCCCGUAACUUCGGAAUAUGGGGUGCCUCAAUUAGGUGAAAUUUUUACUAAUGUAGCCGAAAGAGGUCGCAGUGAAAAGGUCCAAGCGACUGUUUACUAAAAACACAGGUCUAUGCGAAAUCGUAAGACGAUGUAUAUGGACUGACACCUGCCCGGUGCUGGAAGGUUAAAGGGACGUGUCAUCCCGAUUUAUCGGGAGAAGCUCUGAACUGAAGCCCCAGUAAACGGCGGCCGUAACUAUAACGGUCCUAAGGUAGCGAAAUUCCUUGUCGGGUAAGUUCCGAC